This 1353-nucleotide ribosomal RNA is filed under the name uncultured Eubacteriales bacterium. Its description in RNAcentral is "bacterial SSU rRNA". It matches the Rfam family "Bacterial small subunit ribosomal RNA", at positions 28 to 1380 of the family's 1533-position model. Lineage: Bacteria; Bacillati; Bacillota; Clostridia; Eubacteriales. The record is from RNAcentral.
GAUGAACGCUGGCGGCGUGCCUAACACAUGCAAGUCGAGCGAGAAAUUAGCAUGCAGAGAUUUCGGUUGAAGCGAGCUAAUGGAAAGCGGCGGACGGGUGAGUAACGCGUAGGCAACCUGCCCAUAGGAGAGGGAUAGCCUUGGGAAACUAGGAUUAACACCUCAUAAUACUAAGCAUUCACAUGUUUGUUUAGUCAAAUAUUUAUAGCCUAUGGAUGGGCCUGCGUCAGAUUACGCUAGUUGGUAAGGUAACGGCUUACCAAGGCUACGAUCUGUAACCGACCUGAGAGGGUAAUCGGUCACAUUGGAACUGAGACACGGUCCAAACUCCUACGGGAGGCAGCAGUGGGGAAUAUUGCACAAUGGGGGAAACCCUGAUGCAGCAACGCCGCGUGAGCGAAGAAGGUCCUAUGGAUUGUAAAGCUCUGUCCUAAAGGAAGAAACAAAUGACGGUACUUUAGGAGGAAGCCCCGGCUAACUACGUGCCAGCAGCCGCGGUAAUACGUAGGGGGCGAGCGUUAUCCGGAAUUAUUGGGCGUAAAGAGUGCGUAGGCGGUUUGAUAAGCAAGGGGUGAAAGGCAAUGGCUUAACCAUUGUAAGCCUUUUGAACUAUCAGGCUUGAGUGCAGGAGGGGAAAGCGGAACUCCCAGUGUAGCGGUGGAAUGCGUAGAUAUUGGGAAGAACACCGGAGGCGAAGGCGGCUUUCUGGACUGUAACUGACGCUGAGGCACGAAAGCGUGGGGAGCAAACAGGAUUAGAUACCCUGGUAGUCCACGCUGUAAACGAUGAGUACUAGAUGUUGGCGUAUUAAAGCGUCGGUGUCGAAGUUAACGCAUUAAGUACUCCGCCUGGGGAGUACGCACGCAAGUGUGAAACUCAAAGGAAUUGACGGGGACCCGCACAAGCAGCGGAGCAUGUGGUUUAAUUCGAAGCAACGCGAAGAACCUUACCAAGGCUUGACAUCUCUCUGACCGGUUUUUAGUCGAACCUUCCCUUCGGGGCAGAGAAGACAGGUGGUGCAUGGUUGUCGUCAGCUCGUGUCGUGAGAUGUUGGGUUAAGUCCCGCAACGAGCGCAACCCUUGUCGUUAGUUACCAUCAUUCAGUUGGGGACUCUAGCGAGACUGCCGGGGAUAACUCGGAGGAAGGUGGGGAUGACGUCAAAUCAUCAUGCCCCUUAUGUCUUGGGCUACACACGUGCUACAAUGGUCGGUACAAAGCGAAGCGAGACUGUGAAGUGGAGCAAAUCGCAAAAACCGAUCCCAGUUCGGAUUGUAGGCUGCAACUCGCCUACAUGAAGUCGGAGUUGCUAGUAAUCGCAGAUCAGAAUGCUGCGGUGAAUGCGUUCCCGGGUC